UACGGGGGGGGUAAGCGUUGUUCGGAAUUACUGGGCGUAAAGGGCUCGUAGGCGGCCAACUAAGUCAGACGUGAAAUCCCUCAGCUUAACUGGGGAACUGCGUCUGAUACUGGAUGGCUUGGAUUCGGGAGAGGAAUGCGGAAUUCCAGGUGUAGCGGUGAAAUGCGUAGAUAUCUGGAGGACCACCGGUGGCGAAGGCGGCAUUCUGGACCGACAUUGACGCUGAGGAGCGAAAGCCAGGGGAGCAAACGGG
RNAcentral lists this ribosomal RNA (253 nucleotides) under uncultured bacterium. RNAcentral describes it as "partial 16S ribosomal RNA". It matches the Rfam family "Bacterial small subunit ribosomal RNA", at positions 524 to 776 of the family's 1533-position model. The record is from RNAcentral.